Molecule: long non-coding RNA, 1141 nt
Organism: Malus domestica (apple)
Lineage: Eukaryota; Viridiplantae; Streptophyta; Magnoliopsida; Rosales; Rosaceae
Source: RefSeq, a predicted model, not a curated record
CACCGAACCAAACCUUCUUUCUCUCUCUCUCUCUCUCUCUCUCUCUCUCUCUCUCCAUAAACAUAAUCAUAAAACAAACAUUGGGAAACCUAAUAAAAAAAAGUAAAUUACUAGUAAGGGAAAAUAGGAGAGGGCAGCAGCAAGAAAGGGAAAUACAGUUUCUCAAAGUAAAAGGGCGAGGGAAAGGCACUCAAACUCAAACUGAUGAGAUGGUAAAAGCGCACAACAACUCUGUUCCUUGCUGCUGUUGCUGCUGAAUCCUCAUCCUCAUCAUUUCAGAAAGAUUCACAGCUGUAUCUCAAAGCCAAGUCUGAGCGUCUUACUUUGCAAGUUGAGAUCCUCCCAGGACAGCACAAAGCGAGCGAACCAGAUCGGGGGAAUUGUGGCUUACGUUCUCCAUCGCAUUGAUUGCCUCUAGUUGCUAUAGUUGUAUAAAACCAGCAUUGGUCAAGCAUUGGGGAUUUUGAGAGAUUUUGAGUUUUAGGCUGAAAAUUACGUCUGUUCUGUGCGGUGCUGUGCUGUGAUUUGAUCUAGGGGAGGGGACCAACGCAUCAGUAAAUGAAUUUUGAUGUUCCUGAAGCAGAUCGGCUAAGACUAGUACUGUCACAGGGUUUUAUUCAUUUGCCGGAUCGCUCUUCAACAAGUUGCGUUAUGGAUAUUAAAACUAGAAAAGUUUCUGGUGCCCAUACGCCAGAGCCCUCCCCAACGGAUCAUGGACAGAAAGUGCAGUAUUAUCAUCAGAUCCAGAGACAAGGAAAGGCAACAGAAUACCGGCGAACCUUAUCUCACGGUAGAGGGACUGGCAGAAGACUGCUGCCGGCCAGCUACUUUAGCUUGGAGUCGUUGCUUUUGCUUGUAUGCCUCACAGCGACUCUGCUGAUCCUUCCUUUGGUACUUCCGCCACUACCUCCCCCGCCUUUGAUGCUGCUGUUGCUUCCCAUUGGCAUUUUAGCCGUGCUUAUGAUCUUGGCUUUCAUGCCGUCUAAUGUGAGGGAUUUGACUUAUACAUACGUCUAGCAAAGUAAAAUGAAUGAAUGCUUGCGUUGCGUUGUCUCCACGACACUUAAGAUGUUAACUUUUAUCAUACAAUUUUUGUACUACUAAAAUGUUCAAUACAAGAAACAACACUCUUUUGUUUUUA